Molecule: transfer RNA, 72 nt
Filed under: Dipodomys ordii (Ord's kangaroo rat)
Lineage: Eukaryota; Metazoa; Chordata; Mammalia; Rodentia; Heteromyidae
Rfam family: tRNA
About the family: Transfer RNA (tRNA) molecules are approximately 80 nucleotides in length. Their secondary structure includes four short double-helical elements and three loops (D, anti-codon, and T loops).
Source: Rfam by way of RNAcentral
GCAAAUAUGGCUCAGCAGUAGAGUGUCCGCCUAGCAAGCUGGAGGCCCUGAGUUCAAACCCCAGUACUACUG